This 482-nucleotide ribosomal RNA is filed under the name uncultured bacterium. RNAcentral's name for it is "partial 16S ribosomal RNA". It matches the Rfam family "Bacterial small subunit ribosomal RNA", at positions 28 to 507 of the family's 1533-position model. The record is from RNAcentral.
GACGAACGCUGGCGGCGUGCUUAACACAUGCAAGUCGAACGAUGAAGAAGAGACACGCGCACUUCGGUUCAAAUUUCACUUCGGAUUAGUGGCAGACGGGUGAGUAACGCGUGAGCAACCUACCUCUUACAAAGGGAUAGCCUCGGGAAACCGUGAUUAAUACCAUAUGACACAUUCAUAAGGCAUCUUAAGAAUGUUAAAGCUACGGCGGUAAGAGAUGGGCUCGCGUCCCAUUAGCUAGUUGGUGAGGUAACGGCCCACCAAGGCGACGAUGGGUAACCGGCCUGAGAGGGUGAACGGUCACAUUGGAACUGAGACACGGUCCAAAAUCCUACGGGAGGAAGCAGUGGGGAAUAUUGCACAAGGGAGGGAACUCUGAUGCAGCGACGCCGCGUGAGCGAUGAAGGAAUUCGUUGCGUAAAGCUCUGUUCUAUGGGAAGAAAAGGACUGUACCAUAGGAGAAAGCCCCGGCUAAAUACGUG